AUAUAUAAAUACUCACUUUAAAUUAAAUAAAAAUGUGAGUGAGAGGGUCUCAUUCACAUUUUUAUUUAAUUUAAAGUUUGAAAAAAAGUAAGUAUUUCAAAGUAUUUGGACAAUAAUCAUGUUUAAAAACAUGAUUAUUAAAUAUAUGCCUAUGGCAAUCAAUCGGACGGCGUGCCUGAUGGUAACUGGUAACGGCACCACUCUGGGUGACGCCUACCACAUGAACAGCUCUAUGGACAUCAUAUAAUAAACCUCGGUGGUUGGUUGGUGGGUUUAAUACAUUGUCUCAUUGUUACGGCAUUUCCGUAGUAUAGAAAUACUUGUAUGCAUAAAUAUAUAUUUAAAUAAUUUAUUAUUUCAAUCAAUUAUUUCGAACUCUUAGUACAUGUUUUGUUUUGCUUGGGACUUUAUAAUGCUGUGUGAUAUGACUGGCAGUACCUACUCGUAAUAGUACGGGUACUACUAAUACAAUAUGUAUGUUUGGUAGAAACCCGUUCGAUAUACGUUGUAUAUUUAAAACUUUUAGUUAGGAAUAUAAAGGUAUAAUUAUUCGAUAAGGAACCCUAAUUUUUUUAUUAUUAUUGCCAUUACGAAUAUUUUAUUAAAGUAAUUGCUUACUUGUUACUAUAUAAUUAAGGUCUUCAAUAUCAGGUGCAGUCUUGUUCAGUGGACCUAUAAUGAUGGGUGACGCCUAAUACGGAUGUUGAUUAGGUACUUGAUAUGUGAGUAUGUACGUACAUUGAAUACAUUUAUUAUUUUGAAGAUCAAGGACGGCUUUUUGUUGCAUUACGAGACAAAGUAGUUUGGGCGUGGUUGGGCUCAUUUUGUAUAUAAGACAUGUCCGAGUUUUGAAAUUUAUUACUUGUGUUAGUAACUCAAAGUAAAACUUCAACCAUGUUCUUCAGACUGUUUGCCCUCUUCGCUCUGGUGGCUGUUGCUUUCGCCAGCCCCAAGCCUGAGCCUCAAGUGCUGACUUACUCCGCACCCGGCGUACUACCAGUCGGUUACUCCGGAUAUUCUCCUGUUGCAUAUUCCGCUCCAUACGCCGCUGUCCCAUACGCGUACUCCGGAUACUAUGUUCGUUAACCUAUCACACAAUUGAAAAUUGCUAGAAAUAUGAUACCGAUUUGCCAAAUGAUAAUAUAGUUCAUGCUGCAUAA
Molecule: long non-coding RNA, 1160 nt
Organism: Galleria mellonella (greater wax moth)
Lineage: Eukaryota; Metazoa; Arthropoda; Insecta; Lepidoptera; Pyralidae
Exons: 2
Source: RefSeq, a predicted model, not a curated record